CUCUUAUCGAGAGAGGUGGAGGGACUGGCCCGAUGAAACCCGGCAACCGGUAGUAACGUCGUUUAGUUACUAUAGCGGUGCCAAAUCCUGCAGUAAAAGUAUACAAACACUUUUACUGAAAGAUGAGAA
Molecule: non-coding RNA, 129 nt
Filed under: Halobacteroidaceae bacterium
Lineage: Bacteria; Bacillati; Bacillota; Clostridia; Halanaerobiales; Halobacteroidaceae
Description: SAM-I sequence
Rfam family: SAM riboswitch aptamer (S box leader)
About the family: The SAM riboswitch is found upstream of a number of genes which code for proteins involved in methionine or cysteine biosynthesis in Gram-positive bacteria. The SAM riboswitch acts at the level of transcription termination control.
Source: RNAcentral